Molecule: transfer RNA, 96 nt
Filed under: Amycolatopsis taiwanensis
Lineage: Bacteria; Bacillati; Actinomycetota; Actinomycetes; Pseudonocardiales; Pseudonocardiaceae
Description: tRNA-Arg
Source: RNAcentral
UGCACCACGUGCGCCACCCGGCCCUGGGCGGGCGUCGCUCCGAACGACGCGAACGAGCGCCACCACCCGGCUCGUUCGAGGGCGUGCGCGGCGAGG